Molecule: long non-coding RNA, 167 nt
Organism: Bradysia coprophila
Lineage: Eukaryota; Metazoa; Arthropoda; Insecta; Diptera; Sciaridae
Source: RefSeq, a predicted model, not a curated record
CGCUAUUUUAUGGAAUUUUCAACACCCCCUCCCCCUCGUCACGCAAAAAGGGUUAAAUUUGACCGAAAUUUGUUAGAACCUUCACGUUUCGCUGACCUUCCCUCACCCCAUUCGAGUGUGACGUCAUAUGUGAACAGCCCCUAAUCGCGGUGAUUUUUUUCAAAAUU